UACGAAGGGGGCUAGCGUUGCUCGGAAUCACUGGGCGUAAAGCGCACGUAGGCGGAUUGUUAAGUCAGGGGUGAAAUCCUGGAGCUCAACUCCAGAACUGCCUUUGAUACUGGCGAUCUCGAGUCCGGGAGAGGUGAGUGGAACUGCGAGUGUAGAGGUGAAAUUCGUAGAUAUUCGCAAGAACACCAGUGGCGAAGGCGGCUCACUGGCCCGGUACUGACGCUGAGGUGCGAAAGUGUGGGGAGCAAACAGG
This 253-nucleotide ribosomal RNA is filed under the name uncultured bacterium. Its description in RNAcentral is "partial 16S ribosomal RNA". It matches the Rfam family "Bacterial small subunit ribosomal RNA", at positions 524 to 776 of the family's 1533-position model. The record is from RNAcentral.